Molecule: long non-coding RNA, 1183 nt
Filed under: Nicotiana benthamiana
Lineage: Eukaryota; Viridiplantae; Streptophyta; Magnoliopsida; Solanales; Solanaceae
Description: long non-coding RNA (NBEN_LNC035919)
Source: RNAcentral
UUUUAAUCUCUCAAAGAUUUGCUGCAAAUGCACAUUCUGAAUUUGCCAAUUUCAGAAUAAAUUGAAGUUCUCCUUCUAAUGUUGCAUUCAAAGGGCCGUUCAUCGAAACCCAACACUAGCCGAGACAGGGAGCUGAGUAGCAAUUUAGAGACGCACCAAAAAGGUUACGCUCUUACCCUCUUUAAUGUAUAUAUCAAGUUUCGAAUGUUUAAUUCUGUUUUUAGAUGUAAUUUUGUUUUAUAAUGCAUGUUUAUUCGUAUGAUUAGACUUGAUUCUGCAUAUUUUGCGGAUUCUAGUGUAUUUGAAAGCUUGUGAAUCAUAUUUCUGUUACAAUUUUUUUUUUUUUUUUUUGAGAAUGUGUUUUUUAUGAUGAAUAUUUAAGACGCUUGUUGUUGCUGCGGUUUGCGUUCACGGAAUGACCAUUUCGCUUUUUUAGAAAAACUGUUAAAUUCAAAUUUAAGAGAUAAUCUGUUUUCAGUAAAAGUUCUUCAAUGGCUUCUAAAUGUGCUGAUUUCUUUUUUUGGUAAUUAGUUUUUUUUAUUAAUCACCAAAAGUGAAGGCAUUACAUAUCAGAGCAUAGCUACUCCCAGCUGUCUGCUCUCUCUCAUGAAUAAACUACACGUAAAAGCCAAUCUAUCUUAGCAUAUAGUGAGACUACCAUCCUGGAUCUAGGCUAGAAAUAAAACUUUCGUAGCAGUGUCUUUACAUUUCCUAUGGCCCUAAGGUUACAUAUACAGACUAUCUCUCUUGCCAAGCUUGUAUGAUCUCUGAAUGUUUGCUGGAAAAUUCUCUGAUUUCUUUCUCUCCACAGUGCAUGAGUGUAUUCAGCAUAUAUCAUCUUGAGAAGCUUUGUGACAGCUGACUUGCCUCUUGUUUGCUGACAGAUGCCCUGCAACUGAAUCUCCCAUGUUGAUCCAUCAUUAUUCUGAAUCUGUGCCCAUUGUUUCAAUCUGUUCCAAAGCCUUUUAGCAUAGAUACAUUCAGCAAACAAAUGAUCCCUUGUCUCCAAGUUGCAAUAGCACACAUAAGUCAUUCACUUUGAGCCCCAUUUCUUUAUUCUGUCUACAGUUAGCAAUCUUCCUUGGCAUUGGAGCCACAUUGUGAUUUUUGCUUUAGGCCUAGCUUCAUUGUUGCACAUUAAAGCUCUCCAGGUGACUUUGGGCAAUAUUGGAAUCAACUGGAG